Molecule: ribosomal RNA, 261 nt
Filed under: uncultured bacterium
Lineage: Bacteria
Description: partial 16S ribosomal RNA
Rfam family: Bacterial small subunit ribosomal RNA
Source: RNAcentral
ACGAGGUUUGUGACUGAGCGGCGGACGGGUGAGUAACGCGUGGGCAACCUGCCCUGCAGUGGGGGACAACAGUUGGAAACGACUGCUAAUACCGCAUGAUGUAUCUGGAAGGCAUCUUCCGGAUACCAAAGAUUUAUCGCUGUGGGAUGGGCUCAUGUCUGAUUAGUUAGUUGGUGGGGUAACGGCCUACCAAGACUGCGAUCAGUAGCCGGUCUGAGAGGAUGAACGGCCACACUGGAACUGAGACACGGUCCAGACUCC